UACAUUGUGGUGUAGGGCACGUAAAUUUUUGGAUUUUAAAGUAAAGGUUCGGUACCUUUCAUUGUAA
This 67-nucleotide transfer RNA is filed under the name Illex argentinus (Argentinian squid). RNAcentral describes it as "tRNA-Gln". It matches the Rfam family "tRNA". From Rfam's summary of the family: Transfer RNA (tRNA) molecules are approximately 80 nucleotides in length. Their secondary structure includes four short double-helical elements and three loops (D, anti-codon, and T loops). The record is from RNAcentral. Lineage: Eukaryota; Metazoa; Mollusca; Cephalopoda; Oegopsida; Ommastrephidae.